GAUGAACGCUAGAUACAGGCGGAACACAUGCAAGUCGAGGGGUAACGAGAGGAAAGCUUGCUUUCCUUGUGGACGACAGGAGACCAGGAGAGUAAAGCGUAACCGGCGUGCCCCCAACUAGGGAAUCACCAUGCGAACAUAAGAGUACAAAACAAUACUAUCACCAGAUGUCAUCUGACGAGGAAUAAAGAUUUAUCGGUUGUGGAUGGGGAUGCGUCUGAUUAGCUUGUUGGCGGGGUAACGGCCCACCAAGGCAACGAGCAGUAGGGGUUCUGAGAGGAAGGUCCCCCACAUUGGAACUGAGACACGGUCCAAACGCCUACGGGAGGCAGCAGUGAGGAAUAUUGGUCAAUGGGCGGAAGCCUGAACCAGCCAGGUAGCGUGCAGGAUGACGGCCCUAUGGGUUGUAAACUGCUUUUAUACAGAAAAAAAGUUAGCCACGUGUGGUUAUUUGUAGGUACUGUAUGAAUAAGGACCGGCUAAUUCCGUGCCAGCCGCCGCUGUAA
RNAcentral lists this ribosomal RNA (506 nucleotides) under uncultured bacterium. RNAcentral's name for it is "partial 16S ribosomal RNA". It matches the Rfam family "Bacterial small subunit ribosomal RNA", at positions 28 to 523 of the family's 1533-position model. The record is from RNAcentral.